CCAACACUAACCACAAACACACUCACCCAGCACCACUAUCCUCUCCUUUCCGAAACUACAGAGCAUGAACUAAACCUAUCCCCCAGCCACCCAGCACGGUAGCCCGCCACCCGCAGCCACCGCACUAUUUGCCGCCACUGCAGCCACGCAGCCCCCGCAUCCGACCUCACAACUACUGCAGCUCCCUGCAACCCCCCCACACCCGCGCAGACCCACAACGGCGCAGCCACCGCAGCCCCUACACCCACGCAAAAUCCUCUCUCCCUCCCAAAAUCCACAUUCCCUCGUAACUUGGAAAAAAAAAGAUAACCUUAGCUAGCCAAGCCCUCUUUCUUCUUCUGGGUGCAAAACCCUCGUCGUCUUGCUCCAACCCUUGUGUGUUGUUGCCGCCAGUGCUCGCCUGCGUCGUUUCGUUCUUCUUCUUCUUCUACCUCUUUUCGUUUCGUUCUUCGGCGCCGUGUCGUUCUUCUUCUUCCUUCGUGUGAGUUUCGCCUCAACCGUCACUGUCACUAUCGUCGUUGCCACCUCAUCUUCUCAAACGCAGAACCAGAACCAGUUGCCAGUUACGCCGAACCGGUUGCACGAAGUUGCCGCUCCUUCACCGGUCGGCAAUUCGUCGUCGCUCCGCCACUUCUCUGUCGCCUCUUUGCUGUGCUUUGUUUCCAUCAUUGCCGCCGUUCCUGGUCUCAGAGAUAAGAAGUGUGUGCCAUGCAAUCUGAAGGAACUGCGACCGAUGACCGAGGAUGCAGCACACACUUUGAUGCCACAGGUUUUUGAGUGGAAUUUGGUAAAAGAAGAUGGCAUAUUUCAACUGAAGAGGACAUGGAAAGUAAAUUAAAGACUUUCACCAAAGGCUUGGAAUUCUUCAAGAUAGAAGCUGACCUUGCUGAAAGUGAAGUAAUUGGGAGAGAGUGGAAGAAGAUUUUCGGAGAGCAAUUCAGCUUGACAAUCAUUCGGUUAAGGUGAAAAACAUUACAAGAUAAGCGAACAAAUUAGAGAAGAAUUUUUUUUUGGUUUUCAAAGGACGAGAAGAAUAUGUACUAUAUUAUUAGAAAAUAUUUUUUGGUUUUUAUAGUAUAAUAUUUUGAUAUUUUUUGUAAUUUUU
Arachis ipaensis is the source of this 1105-nucleotide non-coding RNA. NCBI's taxonomy places the organism in Eukaryota, Viridiplantae, Streptophyta, Magnoliopsida, Fabales, Fabaceae. The record is from RefSeq and is a predicted model, not a curated record.